RNAcentral lists this ribosomal RNA (301 nucleotides) under uncultured bacterium. RNAcentral describes it as "partial 16S ribosomal RNA". It matches the Rfam family "Bacterial small subunit ribosomal RNA", at positions 509 to 807 of the family's 1533-position model. The record is from RNAcentral.
CAGUAGCCGCGGUAAUACGGAGGGUGCAAGCGUUAAUCGGAAUUACUGGGCGUAAAGCGCACGCAGGCGGUCUGACAAGUCAGAUGUGAAAUCCCCGGGCUUAACCUGGGAACUGCAUUUGAAACUGUCAGACUGGAGUCUUGUAGAGGGGGGUAGAAUUCCAGGUGUAGCGGUGAAAUGCGUAGAGAUCUGGAGGAAUACCGGUGGCGAAGGCGGCCCCCUGGACAAAGACUGACGCUCAGGUGCGAAAGCGUGGGGAGCAAACAGGAUUAGAUACCCGUGUAGUCCCUGUCUCUUAUAC